UGCCAGCCGCCGCGGUAAUACUGAAGGUGCAAGCGUUAAUCGGAAUCACUGGGCGUAAAGCGCUCGUAGGUGGCUUUGUAAGUCAGAUGUGAAAGCCCACGGCUCAACCGUGGAAUUGCAUUUGAUACUGUAAACCUAGAAUAUGGGAGAGGUAGAUGGAAUUUCUGGUGUAGGAGUGAAAUCCGUAGAGAUCAGAAGGAACACCGGUGGCGAAGGCGACUUCCUGGACUAUUACUGACACUGAGGAGCGAAAGCGUGGGGAGCAAACAGGAUUAGAUA
RNAcentral lists this ribosomal RNA (279 nucleotides) under uncultured bacterium. RNAcentral's name for it is "partial 16S ribosomal RNA". It matches the Rfam family "Bacterial small subunit ribosomal RNA", at positions 506 to 784 of the family's 1533-position model. The record is from RNAcentral.